UACGGGGGGUGCAAGCGUUGUUCGGAAUUAUUGGGCGUAAAGAGCGUGUAGGCGGUUUGUUAAGUCUGAUGUGAAAGCCCUGGGCUCAACCCAGGAAGUGCAUUGGAAACUGGCAGACUUGAAUACGGGAGAGGGCAGUGGAAUUCCUAGUGUAGGAGUGAAAUCCGUAGAUAUCAGGAAGAACACCAAUGGCGAAGGCAGCUCUCUGGGACGGUACUGACGCUGAGACGCGAAAGCGUGGGGAGCGAACAGG
Molecule: ribosomal RNA, 253 nt
Filed under: uncultured bacterium
Lineage: Bacteria
Description: partial 16S ribosomal RNA
Rfam family: Bacterial small subunit ribosomal RNA
Source: RNAcentral